Molecule: non-coding RNA, 1385 nt
Filed under: Drosophila willistoni
Lineage: Eukaryota; Metazoa; Arthropoda; Insecta; Diptera; Drosophilidae
Description: Eukaryotic large subunit ribosomal RNA
Rfam family: Eukaryotic large subunit ribosomal RNA
Source: Rfam by way of RNAcentral
UCUUAUCUGGUAAAGCGAAUGAUUAGAGGCCUUAGGGUCGAAACGAUCUUAACCUAUUCUCAAACUUUAAAUGGGUAAGAACCUUAACUUUCUUGAUAUGAAGUUUAAGGUUAUGAUAUAUUGUGCCCAGUGGGCCACUUUUGGUAAGCAGAACUGGCGCUGUGGGAUGAACCAAACGUAAUGUUACGGUGCCCAAAUUAACAACUCAUACAGAAACCAUGAAAGGCGUUGGUUGCUUAAAACAGCAGGACGGUGAUCAUGGAAGUCGAAAUCCGCUAAGGAGUGUGUAACAACUCACCUGCCGAAGCAACUAGCCCUUAAAAUGGAUGGCGCUUAAGUUGUAUACCUAUACAUUACCGCUAAAGUAGAUGAUUUAUAUUAUUUAUAAUAUAAAUUUUGAAACUUUAGUGAGUAGGAAGGUACAAUGGUGUGCUUAGAAGUGUUUGGCGUAAGCCUGCAUGGAGCCGCCAUUGGUACAGAUCUUGGUGGUAGUAGCAAAUAAUCGAAUGAGACCUUGGAGGACUGAAGUGGAGAAGGGUUUCGUGUGAACAGUGGUUGAUCACGAGUUAGUCGGUCCUAAGUUCAAGGCGAAAGCCGAAAAUUUUCAAGUUUUAAAAAUGUCAAAUGAAAUAAUAAAUAAUAAAACACUUGAAUAAUUUUGAACGAAAGGGAAUACGGUUCCAAUUCCGUAACCUGUUGAGUAUCCGUUUGUUAUUAAAUAUGGGCCUCGUGCUCAUCCUGGCAACAGGAACGAUCAUAAAGAAGCCGUCGAGAGGUAUCGGAAGAGUUUUCUUUUCUGUUUUAUAGCCGUACUACCAUGGAAGUCUUUCGCAGAGAGAUAUGGUAGAUGGGCUAGAAGAGCAUGACAUAUACUGUUGUGUCGAUAUUUUCUCCUCGGACCUUGAAAAUUUAUGGUGGGGAUACGCAAACUUCUCAACAGGCCGUACCAAUAUCCGCAGCUGGUCUCCAAGGUGAAGAGUCUCUAGUCGAUAGAAUAAUGUAGGUAAGGGAAGUCGGCAAAUUAGAUCCGUAACUUCGGGAUAAGGAUUGGCUCUGAAGAUUGAGAUAGUCGGGCUUGAUUGGGAAACAAUAACAUGGUUUAUGUGCUCGUUCUGGGUAAAUAGAGUUUCUAUCAUUUAUGAUAGUUAUUUGUUCCCCGGAUAGUUAGUUACGUAGCCAAUUGUGGAACUUUCUUGCUAAAAUUUUUAAGAAUACUAAUUUUUAAUUAGUUCUUUUAAAUUAUAACGAUUAUCAAUUAACAAUCAAUUCAGAACUGGCACGGACUUGGGGAAUCCGACUGUCUAAUUAAAACAAAGCAUUGUGAUGGCCCUAGCGGGUGUUGACACAAUGUGAUUUCUGCCCAGUGCUCUGAAUGUCAAAGUGAA